UCGAUGGCGGCUAUUGUGAGGUUGCAAUGGAAGGGAGCAGAGCAGAGGAAGACGAGAGAAGCUAUUACAAAAUUGGGAUCAUAUUGAUGAAAACUAUACCUGAAUCCAAAACUCCUUUAACCAAAACCAAAUAGUGACGAACGAAGGUUGGCCUCAAAACGAGUAGGACAGGUUUGGUUUUCGGAGUGGUGGAUUCAAAAAGUUUGAUUGAGUUUGGGGGAUAAUUUUCAGCAGGAAAAAGGUCUAAUAAGUAAUCGAAAAAAGCUUGGUAUCCUAGUUUCCAAACAAAAAUCAACCGAUGUAUUAAAAAGUCCGGUAUGUCGUUCAGACCCAAAAA
Long non-coding RNA from Rosa chinensis, 337 nucleotides. RefSeq lists it as uncharacterized. The record is from RefSeq and is a predicted model, not a curated record. Lineage: Eukaryota; Viridiplantae; Streptophyta; Magnoliopsida; Rosales; Rosaceae. The transcript has 2 exons.